This is a long non-coding RNA of Peromyscus leucopus (white-footed mouse), 512 nucleotides long. RefSeq lists it as uncharacterized. The record is from RefSeq and is a predicted model, not a curated record. NCBI's taxonomy places the organism in Eukaryota, Metazoa, Chordata, Mammalia, Rodentia, Cricetidae. The transcript has 4 exons.
AUUCUAACUGCCACCUGGAAAACCUACCCUGCCCACUCAUGGGGCAGUAGUGAGCCUGGGUGUGAAUUGAUAAAUCACAAGGUUGAGCUAGCGUAACCUGAAUGAACACUCUGAAACUGUGAACGAAAGUAAAUUCUUCCACCCUUACGCCAAUUGUCUUAGGAGUUUGUUCAUAACAACUAAAUCAUCACACAGCUUCCUACCCAAGAACCGGAAGGACUUCAGACCCUCCUUAGUACUGGCUUCUUGGCUCAAGUGAGGACACCCAUCAACUUAAAGACCCUGGGAACUCCGCAUGAAUGUUGAAGACCCCGGUGACCUGAGCAUAGCUGGCCCUGAGCUAAGAAUGGAAUGAGAGACUCUACAGAGCCUUGCCUGCUUGUUCCGAGAGAGAGCGUAGGAAGACGCCUUUCACUCGUCUUUAAGGAUCCAAUGAUCACGAUGAUACCGAAUUUCUAAAUUGCUCUCCUUGGUGGUUUUUCCUAAACAGUGCUAAUAAAAUCUUAAACCCA